Molecule: long non-coding RNA, 1071 nt
Organism: Heterocephalus glaber (naked mole-rat)
Lineage: Eukaryota; Metazoa; Chordata; Mammalia; Rodentia; Bathyergidae
Source: Ensembl
AAGAAAAUGGUUGGGCUGGGGUUUUAGCUCAGUGGUUCCCCUGCCUGCCUUGGAAGCUCAAGGUCCCGAGUUUGAUCCCCAGUACCAAAAAAAAGAAAAUGGCUUUAAUUUGCAGUUGUAUAAUUUUAUCCUAACAUUUACUCUUUUCCAAGUAACAUGCUAAGAUAUUUUUCAUAGACGGUAUUAUUUCAUUUGCCCCUGACAACACACUUAUGAGCUAAAUGUUAUUCUUAAUUUGGUUUUAUAUAUGAGGAAACUGAAGGUCAGAGAUGUGAAGCAGUUCAUCCAAGAUCACCAUCCAAGAACACCAACAGAAGCAGGGUGAAGAAUGAGAAAUUCAGAACUUGUUCUUCUUGGAUCACUUCCAAGAAAUAAGAAUGCAAAAGGGUGCCUGUCAUUGCCUUGAUCCUUAAGAAGCCCAUCUGCAGCCGUCCUCAAACCCAAGGGCAGGACUCUGUACAGAGGCAAAAGGAGAUACUGAAUGCAGGGCAAGGAGCAUCGUGUAGGAGAGCAAUUCCAUGUUUGAAAAUCAUCUUUACAACUCGCCUGCAACAUGCAAUCAGCUCCUCCUUUCUAGUCACGUUUGCUCAUGAAUAUUUUCUGUGGUCAUCUAUCCAUACUGAAGGGCUAUGCACUUACCUGCCACGAUACUUCAGUGUUUGUUGGGAAUCGAAGCCAAGUCUUGGAGAUGGUGCUGCCAGAUUCUCUGAGGAGACUGAGAAUAUGUGGUCCCAGCAGCAAAAAGAGAUGGAAUGAGAGUAGAAGAGUGGGAGUGAUCAACCUGUUCCUCCUCUACUCUCUGCUCCUCCUUACCCUCCCUGCCAGUUCUGCCUGUGCUCUUUUUACAAUGGAUCAGGUGGGUGGCAGCUGGGGCUUCAUAUCCAGGGAUUUAUAGUUAUGGCUGUUAUGGGGUAUAUUCCAAGACAGUGCUCUCUCCAGAGUUUAAGGGGAAGUGACCAGGAAUAUACUGAAAUUUUAUGUCACUCGCUUAGGGAGGCCUGGAACCUGACACCAGCACUGCAGGAAGGGAUGUAGAGAGAAAAGCAAUCGAAUAUGAGUAGAGAACAGAGG